Molecule: ribosomal RNA, 507 nt
Filed under: uncultured bacterium
Lineage: Bacteria
Description: bacterial SSU rRNA
Rfam family: Bacterial small subunit ribosomal RNA
Source: RNAcentral
CGGGUUGUAAAGCUCUUUCGGCCGGGAAGAAAUCGUGGUCUCUAACAUAGGCCAUGGAUGACGGUACCGGACUAAGAAGCACCGGCUAACUACGUGCCAGCAGCCGCGGUAAUACGUAGGGUGCGAGCGUUAAUCGGAAUUACUGGGCGUAAAGCGUGCGCAGGCGGUUUUGUAAGACAGAUGUGAAAUCCCCGGGCUUAACCUGGGAACUGCGUUGUGACUGCAAGGCUAGAGUACGGCAGAGGGGGGUGGAAUUCCUGGUGUAGCAGUGAAAUGCGUAGAGAUCAGGAGGAACACCGAUGGCGAAGGCAGCCCCCUGGGCCUGUACUGACGCUCAUGCACGAAAGCGUGGGGAGCAAACAGGAUUAGAUACCCUGGUAGUCCACGCCCUAAACGAUGUCGACUAGUCGUUCGGAGCAGCAAUGCACUGAGUGACGCAGCUAACGCGUGAAGUCGACCGCCUGGGGAGUACGGCCGCAAGGUUAAAACUCAAAGGAAUUGAUGGGG